UCGCCUGUUUAUCAAAAACAUCGCCUUUUGAAGUAUAUAAAAGGUCCAGCCUGCCCAGUGACCAUGUUCAACGGCCGCGGUAUCCUAACCGUGCGAAGGUAGCGUAAUCACUUGUUCUUUAAAUGAGGACUAGUAUGAAUGGCACCACGAAGGUUAUACUGUCUCCUUUUUCUAAUCAGUGAAACUAAUCUUCCCGUGAAGAAGCGGGAAUCUACAUAUAAGACGAGAAGACCCUAUGGAGCUUUAAACGAAAUAACAACUACCACAUUUAAUACUAAUUUCAGAAGUUUAAAUAUUACCCAGGUAUUUUGUUUAUUAGUUUUAGGUUGGGGUGACCGCGGAGCAAAAAACAACCUCCGCACUGAACGGGACAACCCUAAACAAAAAGCUACAACUUUAUGUAUCAGCACACUGACACUAAUUGACCCAAUAAUUUGAUCAACGAACCAAGUUACCCUAGGGAUAACAGCGCAAUCCAUUUCAAGAGCCCCUAUCGACAAAUGGGUUUACGACCUCGAUGUUGGAUCAGGGUCUCCUAGUGGUGCAGCCGCUACUAAUGGUUCGUUUGUUCAACGAUUAAAACCCUACGUGAUCUGAGUUCAGACCGGA
This 609-nucleotide ribosomal RNA is filed under the name Proceratophrys boiei (Bioe's frog). RNAcentral describes it as "partial 16S ribosomal RNA". It matches the Rfam family "Bacterial large subunit ribosomal RNA", at positions 1796 to 2620 of the family's 2925-position model. Lineage: Eukaryota; Metazoa; Chordata; Amphibia; Anura; Alsodidae. The record is from RNAcentral.